AUGCAUUUCACUUACAUGCACACAAAGAGCUCCACAACUAGCAUUUUAGAAAGAUUAGAUUCAUAUACUGAUCUGUAUAUAAUUGCCUAUAAUUUGCAUUUCGGCACAUGUUGGCUCAUAUUUUUCUCAGCUAGCUCAUAUAUUCAUCAUAACACUAACACACGUCUUGCUUUUUUCUUAUUGCAGAGGCUGUCUAGGUGCUGUUUUGGUGUUUCCCGUGGUGCACAUGUGUGCUGCCUUUCCUACAAUAUGUGUUUUCAUGCAUUUUUGCGCAAACUUUUGUGUCCUGAACUGAUAAGUAUUCAAUUGUGUGCCACAUGCAGGUGCUCUGAACCUCUGACAUUAGCAAAUGAUUUGCUUUAUCCGAAAAUGCUAGGUGGUGGCGGCGACGUUGUGUUCAGUGGCUAA
RNAcentral lists this ribosomal RNA (408 nucleotides) under Triticum aestivum (bread wheat). Its description in RNAcentral is "partial small subunit ribosomal RNA". Lineage: Eukaryota; Viridiplantae; Streptophyta; Magnoliopsida; Poales; Poaceae. The record is from RNAcentral.